AAUAGCGUAUAUGUAUGUUGUUGCGGUUGAAAAGCUCGUAGUUGGACUUCUGGCGGCCUCGACCGGUCCGCCUAGCGCGAGCACUGGUUGGGGCUGUCGUUUGGUCGACGGUGCGCGUUGGUCUUCAUUGCUCGGCGCGCUCUCUGUCGGCGAUGUUACUUUGAGGAAAUCAGAGUGCUCAAAGCAAGCGUUCGCUCGUGACUUCACUAGCAUGGAAUAACACAGAUGGGCUCUUUUUCGCAACGUUGGUCUGCGUCAAUUGAGCAACGAUCGAUAGAGACGGUCGGGGGCAUUCGUAUUGCGCAGUUAGAGGUGAAAUUCUCCGAUCUGCGCAAGACGCACUAAUGCGAAAGCAGUUGCCAAGGACGUCCUCUUAUGAUCAAGAGCGAAAGUCGGGGGAUCAAAGAUGAUUAGAUACCGUCGUAGUCCCGACCAUAAAUGAUGCCGACUGAGCGUCGGCGACUCGGCUCCAAGCCGGACGUCGGCGCUCUUAGAGAAAUUAAAGUCUAUGGGCUCCGGGGGUAGUAUGGUCGCAAGUCUGAAACUUGAAGGAAUUGACGGAAGGGCACCACAAGGCGUGGAUGUUGCGGCUUAAUUUGACUCAACACGGGAAAGCUUACUAGGUUUGGACACUUGAAUGAGGGACAUAUUGAAGCUCUUACCUUUUUUUGUGGAUGGUGGUGCAUGGUCGUUCUCAGCCCGUGGGUUGACCUGUCAGGUUUACUCCGGUAACGCGCGAGACCUCGGUUUGCUAAAUAGACGUGGCUGUUUCGGCACCCGCGCUCUUCUUAGAGAGAGACUCGGCGAGAGUCGAGGGAAGUCGAGGCAAUAACAGAUCUGUGAUGCCCUUAGUUAUCCUAGGUCGCACGCGCCAUACAAUGUGGCGCACAACGAGUUUCCUUGGCCGACAGGAG
This 914-nucleotide ribosomal RNA is filed under the name Pseudocodium devriesii. Its description in RNAcentral is "SSU rRNA". It matches the Rfam family "Eukaryotic small subunit ribosomal RNA", at positions 593 to 1542 of the family's 1831-position model. Lineage: Eukaryota; Viridiplantae; Chlorophyta; Ulvophyceae; Bryopsidales; Halimedaceae. The record is from RNAcentral.